This 442-nucleotide ribosomal RNA is filed under the name Cyanobacteriota bacterium 4985_1RGII. Its description in RNAcentral is "bacterial SSU rRNA". It matches the Rfam family "Bacterial small subunit ribosomal RNA", at positions 338 to 795 of the family's 1533-position model. Lineage: Bacteria; Bacillati; Cyanobacteriota. The record is from RNAcentral.
CCUACGGGUGGCUGCAGUCGAGAAUCUUUCGCAAUGGGCGAAAGCCUGACGGAGCAAUACCGCGUGAGGGAGGACGGCUUUUGGGUUGUAAACCUCUUUUGAUAGGGAAGAAGAACUGACGGUACCUGACGAAUCAGCAUCGGCUAACUCCGUGCCAGCAGCCGCGGUAAUACGGAGGAUGCAAGCGUUAUCCGGAAUUAUUGGGCGUAAAGCGUCCGCAGGUGGUUAAUCAAGUCUGCUGUUAAAGCGUCCAGCUUAACUGGAUAUAGGCAGUGGAAACUGGUUGACUAGAGUUUGGUAGGGGUCACGGGAAUUCCCAGUGUAGCGGUGAAAUGCGUAGAUAUUGGGAAGAACACCAGCGGCGAAAGCGCGUGACUGGGCCUGAACUGACACUCAUGGACGAAAGCUAGGGGAGCGAAAGGGAUUAGAUACCCCGGUAGUC